Molecule: non-coding RNA, 468 nt
Organism: Odocoileus virginianus texanus
Lineage: Eukaryota; Metazoa; Chordata; Mammalia; Artiodactyla; Cervidae
Source: RefSeq, a predicted model, not a curated record
UAAGCUCCGAUUCCAGAACCAAUGCUUACAGAUAGGUCCUCUUCGGGAAUUUCUUAACCUCUCAGUAUUUUUUAGUUUUUCCACCUAUAAAAUAGGGAGAAUAACCAGUACCUACCUCAAUUGAGCCAAUGUGAGGAUGUAGAGUGGAUAGAUAGAAAGUAACAAGCUAUUGCUAAAUUUGUAUGGAAAAGCAAAAUUUUUGUUUGCAGAAAAAAUAAUGAAGUUGGAGUCCUGGUAGAAGAAGGCAUGAAUGAAUGAUGCAGCCACAAAUGUCACUGCUAGAGCUUGACUCAUUUGCUCUCAACCCUGAGGAUGUCAAAGCCCUGGGGAGGCGGAGCUUGAGCUGGUGCUUCGUAUGGAGCCUGGAGGCUGAGAGGGACUCCUGCUAGGGGUGAGUGAGAGAGCCAGCCGGGGGCGGCGCUGUAAAACUCAGCCUUUGAUGCUACAGUCUGGAUGCUUCAGUCUCUA